AGCAUUAUUUUGUUGAAAUAAUAUCUUCCUGGCAGUUUCAAUGAAAACAAAGUUUGUAUCCUAAAAGGGCUCUCAAGGUCACUGUACAAACAUCUAGCAGAAAAAAAAAACAAAUACCAUGCAUGACAGCAUGAAGGGGGUCAGCAAGAUACAGCACAGCAUGAUUAUUGAUGGUUUUGAAGAUGCGGCGGCACAGUGGAUCAGUUGGUAAAGCGUUGGCCUCCCAGUUCUGAGGUCCUGGGUCCAAUCCUAGACCCGCCUGUGUGGAGUUUGCAUGUUCUCCCCGUGCCUGCGUGAGUUUCCUCCGGGCACUCCAGUUUCCUCCCACAUUCCAAAAACAUGCAACAUUAAUUGGACAAUCUAAAUUGCCCCAAGGUGUGAUUGUGAGUGUGUCUGUCUCAAUGUGCCUUGCGAUUGAGCUGGCAACCAGUUCAGGGUGUACCCUGCCUCCUGCCCGUUGACAGCUGGGAUAGGCUCCAGCACUCCCUGCGACCCUUGUGAGGAUAAGCGGGAAAGAAAAUGGAUGGAUGGAGGUCAUAAUGCGACAUUUGGAAAGCCAGCCUGCGGAGAUGUUGCAGGGCUGUAGUGGAGUGAGCAGUAGGUCUCCUUGUGAUAAUACAGAUCUGGAGAAGCUGGAGUUUUUAUAGUAACUUGUAAGGGAGACCAAACAGGAGCGAGUUGCAGUUGUUGUUUACCUGUGCUUGGAAAGACAGUGUGCUGUAAUCCAGCCACUUAACCUGAGCGGAGGGGAAACUGAAAGCAUCAAGUGCAAUGGAAAGUGUACAUUUGGUCAUACUCACAACAAAAUUUUCAGAACUCUUUGGCAAAUGUAGAUGACUGCAAGUUACAUUGUAACUAACUGUCAUACAAGUGGAAAAACAAGUCAAUCGGUCUAAUAUAAGUACAUUGUCAUGGGAUGAACUACUGAACCAGGGAGUUCAUUUAUGCCACAACAGCAGAAAGUUAUGGGAGAUAAAAUAUGACAUGGAUGUAAAUAAAUGGAGCUCAUUGCAUCAUGGGAAUUUAUUUAUGAUUGACGAGAUGUCUCGCCAUCAGCGAGUGAGUAAGAACCAUGAACUUUAUGAUUAUGAAAACACUGAACAGAGGUGAUCUUUCCAAGAAGUGUUUUGCUGACCAAAGUUAUUCCAAGAGUGGCAUCCAAAAGGUCGCAAAAGUCCUUACAACAUCCAAGGAACUCCAGGCCUCAUUUGCCUCAGUUAAGGUUCAUUGUUCAAGGUCCUCAUGACACAAUAAGGAAGAGAUUGGGUAAGAAUGGACAGAGUUCCAAGACAAAAAAACACUGGUGAGCAGUAAGAAUCUCAAUUUUCCAAGAAGACAUCUUGGUGAUCCCCAAGACUUACAUAGAAAGUACUCUGACGGGACUAAAGUUGAAAUUUUUACAAGGACCUGGACCAGGACCUGCUUUGAAAAAUGUAACUGCUGGCUACAAAAAAUCCUGAAGGAGAAUGUCCAGCCAACUGUUUGUGACUUGAAAUUGGAACAAACUUUGGUUUUGCAGCAGGACGAUGAUCCAAAACACAUCAAGUCCAACUCUGAAUGGCUGAAGAAAGACAAAAUGAAAUCGCAAAACUUUUACGAUGCUGUUGCAUGACCUUAAGAGGGUGGUCCAUACUUGAAUACCUUCCAGUGUGACUGAAUUACAACAGUUCUGCAAAGAUAAGUGGGGUAUAAUUCCGCCCCAGUUAUGGCAAAUGUUGGUUGCAGUUUUUGCUGUGUAGUCA
This is a long non-coding RNA of Syngnathoides biaculeatus (alligator pipefish), 1742 nucleotides long. RefSeq lists it as uncharacterized. NCBI's taxonomy places the organism in Eukaryota, Metazoa, Chordata, Actinopteri, Syngnathiformes, Syngnathidae. The transcript has 3 exons. The record is from RefSeq and is a predicted model, not a curated record.